UAACUUCUACCACUGAAGUAUAUUCACUGA
This 30-nucleotide non-coding RNA is filed under the name Mus musculus (house mouse). Lineage: Eukaryota; Metazoa; Chordata; Mammalia; Rodentia; Muridae. The record is from RNAcentral.